CAUUAAGUACAAAAGUCCUGAGGUUGUAGGCUGGAGUUUCUGAGGUCAGUGUGGCUGUAGUGAAGGGAACAAUGGGGAAAGGGAGAUGAGGUUAGGAGAGAAGUGGAGGCUAGAUUGUUGGAGUCUUGGGCAGCCAGUGGAGAGUUCUGAGCAGAAGUAACAUGGUCUAAUUUUUCUAUUCCUGUUUUGGGAACAGUCUGUGGAAAGGCAAGAGUGAAAUCACAAAGGCCAGUUAAGUGGCUACUGAAAUAAUUCAGAUAAGAAGCAGCAGAGUUUCUGACCAUCAUGGAGCAGUGGUGGUGGAUUACCAAACCAAUAACAAUGACCAGGCAGUAGUUGAAAUCUGUAUCACAAGAAUCACAACAGCCAUCAGAGAGACCGAGUCCAUUGAAAAGCAUGCAAAGGCCCUUGUGGGGCUCUGGGACUCCUGCUUGGAACAUAACCUGAGACCCUUUGGGAAAGAUGAAGACACUCCUCAUGCAAAAAUCGCAUCUGAUAUCAUGAGUUGCAUUUUACAGAAUUACAACCGACCCCCAGUGAUGGCAUUAGCCAUCCCCAUUGCAGUGAAAUUCCUCCACAGAGGCAACAAGGAACUGUGCAGGAAUAUGUCUAACUACCUGUCUCUGGCUGCAAUUACCAAGGCAGAUCUCCUGGCUGAUCACACAGAAGUUAUAGUAAAGAGCAUACUCCAAGGUAUGGUGUGAAAGUUGAGCUUGAGGACAUGUUUUAGGAGAUAUUUAAAAGUAUUUUCAUGAAGCAUUUAUGGUUUGUGGGAAGCA
RNAcentral lists this small RNA (779 nucleotides) under Pongo abelii (Sumatran orangutan). Its description in RNAcentral is "retained intron". Lineage: Eukaryota; Metazoa; Chordata; Mammalia; Primates; Hominidae. The record is from RNAcentral.